UGAGGAAUAUUGCGCAAUGGGGGAAACCCUGACGCAGCGACGCCGCGUGAGUGAGGAAGGCCUUCGGGUCGUAAAGCUCUGUCAAAGGGAAAGAAGUGCAUGAUGGCUAAUACCUGUCAUGUUUGACGGUACCCUUAAAGGAAGCACCGGCUAACUCCGUGCCAGCAGCCGCGGUAAUACGGAGGGUGCAAGCGUUGUUCGGAAUCACUGGGCGUAAAGGGCGCGUAGGCGGUUUGAUAAGUCAGAUGUGAAAGCCCACGGCUUAACUGUGGAAGUGCAUUUGAAACUGUCAGACUUGAGUAUCAGAGGGGAAAGUGGAAUUCCCGGUGUAGAGGUGAAAUUCGUAGAUAUCGGGAGGAAUACCGGUGGCGAAGGCGACUUUCUGGCUGAAUACUGACGCUGAGGCGCGAAAGCGUGGGGAGCAAACAGG
Molecule: ribosomal RNA, 430 nt
Filed under: uncultured bacterium
Lineage: Bacteria
Also listed under: 1 other name
Description: bacterial SSU rRNA
Rfam family: Bacterial small subunit ribosomal RNA
Source: RNAcentral